GCGGUGGUAGUACAGUGGUCAGUAUGCGGCCUUGCCAAGGCUGUGACCCGGGUUCAAAUCCCGGCCACCGCA
This 72-nucleotide transfer RNA is filed under the name Candidatus Woesearchaeota archaeon. RNAcentral's name for it is "tRNA-Gly". It matches the Rfam family "tRNA". From Rfam's summary of the family: Transfer RNA (tRNA) molecules are approximately 80 nucleotides in length. Their secondary structure includes four short double-helical elements and three loops (D, anti-codon, and T loops). Lineage: Archaea; Nanobdellati; Candidatus Woesearchaeota. The record is from RNAcentral.